This 203-nucleotide ribosomal RNA is filed under the name uncultured bacterium. RNAcentral describes it as "partial 16S ribosomal RNA". It matches the Rfam family "Bacterial small subunit ribosomal RNA", at positions 1292 to 1500 of the family's 1533-position model. The record is from RNAcentral.
UUCGGAUUGGAGUCUGCAACCCGACUCCAUGAAGCUGGAUUCGCUAGUAAUCGCGCAUCAGCCACGGCGCGGUGAAUACGUUCCCGGGCCUUGUACACACCGCCCGUCAAGCCAUGGAAGCCCGGGGGGUGCCUGAAGUGCGCUGCCGCAAGGAGCGCCCUAGGGUAAAACCGGUGACUGGGGCUAAGUCGUAACAAGGUACC